CAAACACAGGAUCAACACAUCAAGACAUUUCUGUCUAGGAGAUUACAAAGCAGAGAACUGACUGGAGAUAUUUUGUCAUCCUAUUAGGGCUGAAUUGGCAGUGAUGCUGAACUCUAGAGGAAAAAUUCAUCACUUAUGUCACUCCAACUGUACCAGUAUGCUCAUAUCAUCAUGUAUGUUGUCCAGAGCUUGACCUGGCCCGGGCUGGCCAUGCACUUGAAGGAAAGAACCACCAUAUGUCAUCCCUAAAGAAAUUGCUCCCAGCAACAUCCUUGCAGCUGCAAACAAUGAAGAAAGCUGCAACGUCCUGUAGUGGUUAUAGCAUGUCCUCCCCUUAAUUACAGGUUUAUGUGGUUUGGCAAAGCCCAUCAUCUGAACAGAUACAAAUCUGGGAAGGCUGCUUAUAUCGUUCGGUUCAACUGAUAUGCUGGUGCUGUCCCUGGGCUGAGGAAUGUGCAAACUAUGUAUGUUUGCUUCUUACUGUCCCUUCAGCAAAGAAAAUGGGGAGGAGAAUGGAAAGAGAGGAAAUUUUUAAGGUAUUAAUCUGCUUCCUUCUUUU
RNAcentral lists this long non-coding RNA (559 nucleotides) under Parus major (Great Tit). RNAcentral describes it as "lncRNA (ENSPMJG00000006381.1)". Lineage: Eukaryota; Metazoa; Chordata; Aves; Passeriformes; Paridae. The record is from RNAcentral.